CCUACGGGUGGCAGCAGUGAGGAAUAUUGGUCAAUGGACGCAAGUCUGAACCAGCCAUGCCGCGUGCAGGAAGACGGCUCUAUGAGUUGUAAACUGCUUUUGUACGAGGGUAAACGCAGACACGCGUAUCUGUCUGAAAGUAUCGUACGAAUAAGGAUCGGCUAACUCCGUGCCAGCAGCCGCGGUAAUACGGAGGAUUCAAGCGUUAUCCGGAUUUAUUGGGUUUAAAGGGUGCGUAGGCGGUCGGAUAAGUUAGAGGUGAAAUCCCGAGGCUCAACUUCGGAAUUGCCUUUGAUACUGUUCGGCGAGAGAGUAGUUGCGGUAGGCGGAAUGUAUGGUGUAGCGGUGAAAUGCUUAGAGAUCAUACAGAACACCGAUUGCGAAGGCAGCUUACCAAGCUACUUCUGACGUUGAGGCACGAAAGCGUGGGGAGCAAACAGGAUUAGAUACCCUAGUAGUC
Molecule: ribosomal RNA, 460 nt
Filed under: uncultured bacterium
Lineage: Bacteria
Description: partial 16S ribosomal RNA
Rfam family: Bacterial small subunit ribosomal RNA
Source: RNAcentral